GUGACGCCACUGGGUUUCGGCUGAGUUUUCUGACCAUUUGACCGGUGGUUUGGCUCUGGUUUGGCCAUAGGCAGACUCAGCAUCGAAAAACGAGCAAGGGGGAGAAAUAUUACCUCGAUCGGCAGUCAGAAACUUCCCCGGUGCGGCGGCGGGUGUUGGCGGCCGGCUCCUCCGGCGAUUGGUUCUUCUCCGGCGAGCACUGGCGGCUAGGGUUUCUUUGGUCAAGUGUGGGUGGGGGUAUUUAUACCCUUCGCGAUGCAAUCUGGGCCGUCCGUGCCUGAUUGAAUCUGGGCCGUCCGUGCGCGUGAAU
This 310-nucleotide long non-coding RNA is filed under the name Carica papaya (papaya). RNAcentral's name for it is "long non-coding RNA (CPAP_LNC001708)". The record is from RNAcentral. Lineage: Eukaryota; Viridiplantae; Streptophyta; Magnoliopsida; Brassicales; Caricaceae.